Prunus mume (Japanese apricot) is the source of this 1375-nucleotide non-coding RNA. The record is from RefSeq and is a predicted model, not a curated record. Lineage: Eukaryota; Viridiplantae; Streptophyta; Magnoliopsida; Rosales; Rosaceae.
UAGAGGCUAUUGAUUGCCCUAAAAAUAGAAAAUUCGGUAUAAGUCCAGCUCGUACAUGGUAAUUGUAGAGGCUGCUCUUGAUUUAUAGACAGAGACAGAGAUCAAAGAUUUGGGUAUUGGGUUGGUUUAUUUGGUCCAAUUGCAAUUUGCAUGCCCACCCCCAUUUAAUAUUCACACCCAAUCCAUCCCCAACUACCAAAACCACCCAAACCAAAGCAGCAAUAAGUAACUCCAACGACUUCCCCCUCCACGCUUUUCCAGUGUCUUUGGAUACUUUCACCACCCGGCGCAUUUCACCAAACCAUAGUUACAAAAUGGCGCACCCAAUUGCGGGGGCGAACGACCAAAGCCCCUUCGGCUCUUUGACCCCUGACGCCUUCUAUUCCCGCCACAAAGUCUCUCACGCCUCCGAGUACAUCACGAAUCCCAGAGGCCUCAAGCUCUUCACCCAGUGGUGGACCCCACUCCCUCCCACUCCUGUUGUCGGAACUCUAGCCAUCGUCCACGGCUACACCGGCGAGACCAGCUGGUUCGUCCAGCUCACCGCCGUCCACUUCGCCAAGUCCGGCUUCGCCGUCUGUGCCAUCGACCACCAGGGCCACGGCUUCUCCGACGGCCUCGUCGCCCACAUUCCCGACAUCAACCCCGUCGUCGAUGACUGCAUCUCCUUUUUCGACUCCUUCCGCGCCCGCCACGCGCCGCCCAACCUCCCCGCCUUCCUCUACGCCGAGUCCCUCGGCGGCGCGAUAGCCCUACUCAUCACGCUCAGACAAGGGAGUGGCGCGUGGAACGGCCUCAUCCUCAACGGCGCCAUGUGCGGGAUCAGCGCCAAGAUCAAGCCGCCGUGGCCGCUUGAGCACCUGCUCGCGCCGGGCCCUGGCGUGCAAGGUGGAGUUGAAGCGAAGCCUGGCGCUGGCGAGCCCGAGGAGGACGGUGGCGAGGCCGCGGGCGGCGACGGCGCUUGAGCUGCUGAGGGUGUGCAAGGAGCUUCAGGCGAGGUUCGAGGAGGUGGAGGUACCGCUGCUGAUCGUCCACCGCGCGUCGAGCAAGGACAAGACGCUGAGGAUCCACGAGGGCAUGUGGCACCAGCUGGUUGGUGAAACCCAGGAGGACGUCGACUUGGUGUUCGGCGAAAUGGUGGCGUGGCUUCGUGCUCGAGCUGAACGCGCCUCCCCCGCUGCCGUCGCGAGCGGUGGUGCUGCCUAGUCUAGUCUAUAGGUUAAUAAGGUUUUAGUGAUGUGAUCACUGUGUUAAGUUAAACUUAGUUGGAACAGAGAAGGAAGAAGCAGCAUAAGCAGCCAAUGGAAGCAUGCCAUGUCACUUGAAGUUUAAAUAAAAAUUAUUAAUUCAUAUAGAAUUAAUAUGAUAAAGCAAA